RNAcentral lists this ribosomal RNA (433 nucleotides) under uncultured bacterium. Its description in RNAcentral is "partial 16S ribosomal RNA". It matches the Rfam family "Bacterial small subunit ribosomal RNA", at positions 29 to 507 of the family's 1533-position model. The record is from RNAcentral.
AACGAACGCUGGCAGCAUGCCUAACACAUGCAAGUCGAACGAGACCUUCGGGUCUAGUGGCGCACGGGUGCGUAACGCGUGGGAACCUGCCUUUAGGUUCGGAAUAACUCAGAGAAAUUUGAGCUAAUACCGGAUGAUGUCUUCGGACCAAAGAUUUAUCGCCUUUAGAUGGGCCCGCGUUGGAUUAGCUAGUUGGUGGGGUAAAGGCCUACCAAGGCGACGAUCCAUAGCUGGUCUGAGAGGAUGAUCAGCCACACUGGGACUGAGACACGGCCCAGACUCCUACGGGAAGCAGCAGUGGGGAAUAUUGGACAAUGGGCGAAAGCCUGAUCCAGCAAUGCCGCGUGAGUGAUGAAGGCCUUAGGGUUGUAAAGCUCUUUUACCCGAGAUGAUAAUGACAGUAUCGGGAGAAUAAGCUCCGGCUAACUCCGUG